UAGCAGGCUAGCUCCCACAGGGAUCUCCAGGGGAUUCGCAAUUUGAAACGAGCGCAGUUCCCUCUGUGGGAGCUAGCCUUCUA
RNAcentral lists this unclassified non-coding RNA (83 nucleotides) under Pseudomonas mandelii. The record is from RNAcentral. Lineage: Bacteria; Pseudomonadati; Pseudomonadota; Gammaproteobacteria; Pseudomonadales; Pseudomonadaceae.